CGCACAUUGCGCCCUUUGGUAUUCCGAAGGGCAUACCUGUUCGAGCGUCAUUAUCUACCUCUCCACCCCCUGGGGGCGGAGGCAUUGGAGUUCCCAAGUCGGUCUCGACCAACUGGCUCUCAAAAGUAAUGACGGCGUCCAUGGGACCCUCGAUACAUUGAGUUCUUUCGAGAGCACGUAUUGAGUUGCAAGGUCCCUCCGGGCCGGUCGACACCUUUAAUUUUCUCAGGUUGACCUCGGAUCAGGUAGGAAUACCCGCUGAACUUAA
RNAcentral lists this unclassified non-coding RNA (268 nucleotides) under Bagliettoa marmorea. RNAcentral's name for it is "partial contains 5.8S ribosomal RNA, internal transcribed spacer 2, and large subunit ribosomal RNA". The record is from RNAcentral. Lineage: Eukaryota; Fungi; Ascomycota; Eurotiomycetes; Verrucariales; Verrucariaceae.